GACGAACGCUGGCGGCGUGCUUAACACAUGCAAGUCGAGCGGUAAGGCCCUUUCGUGGGUACACGAGCGGCGAACGGGUGAGUAACACGUGGGUGACCUGCCCUCAGCUCUGGGAUAAGCCUGGGAAACCGGGUCUAAUACCGGAUAUGACUCCAUGACGCAUGUUGUGGGGUGGAAAGCCUUGUGCGGCUGAGGAUGGGCCCGCGGCCUAUCAGCUUGUUGGUGGGGUGANGGCCUACCAAGGCGACGACGGGUAGCCGGCCUGAGAGGGCGACCGGCCACACUGGGACUGAGACACGGCCCAGACUCCUACGGGAGGCAGCAGUGGGGAAUCUUGCGCAAUGGGCGAAAGCCUGACGCAGCGACGCCGCGUGAGGGAUGACGGCCU
This 388-nucleotide ribosomal RNA is filed under the name uncultured bacterium. RNAcentral's name for it is "bacterial SSU rRNA". It matches the Rfam family "Bacterial small subunit ribosomal RNA", at positions 28 to 417 of the family's 1533-position model. The record is from RNAcentral.